This 169-nucleotide ribosomal RNA is filed under the name Artocarpus elasticus. RNAcentral's name for it is "5.8S ribosomal RNA". It matches the Rfam family "5.8S ribosomal RNA". Rfam says of the family: 5.8S ribosomal RNA (5.8S rRNA) is a component of the large subunit of the eukaryotic ribosome. It is transcribed by RNA polymerase I as part of the 45S precursor that also contains 18S and 28S rRNA. RNAcentral also lists the same sequence under 3 other names. Lineage: Eukaryota; Viridiplantae; Streptophyta; Magnoliopsida; Rosales; Moraceae. The record is from RNAcentral.
UAAAAACGACUCUCGGCAACGGAUAUCUCGGCUCUCGCAUCGAUGAAGAACGUAGCGAAAUGCGAUACUUGGUGUGAAUUGCAGAAUCCCGUGAACCAUCGAGUCUUUGAACGCAAGUUGCGCCCGAAGCCAUCCGGCCGAGGGCACGCCUGCCUGGGCGUCACACACC